RNAcentral lists this ribosomal RNA (488 nucleotides) under uncultured bacterium. RNAcentral describes it as "bacterial SSU rRNA". It matches the Rfam family "Bacterial small subunit ribosomal RNA", at positions 28 to 514 of the family's 1533-position model. The record is from RNAcentral.
GAUGAACGCUAGCGGCAGGCUUAACACAUGCAAGUCGAGGGGCAGCACGUCUUCGGAUGGUGGCGACCGGCGCACGGGUGCGUAACGCGUAUAGAACCUACCUUUUACAGGGGAAUAGCCCAGAGAAAUUUGGAUUAAUGCCCCAUAGUAUUAUUGAAUGGCAUCAUUUAAUAAUUAAACAUUUAUGGGUAAAAGAUGGCUAUGCGUUCUAUUAGCUAGUAGGUAAGGUAACGGCUUACCUAGGCAACGAUAGAUAGGGGUCCUGAGAGGGAGAUCCCCCACACUGGUACUGAGACACGGACCAGACUCCUACGGGAGGCAGCAGUGAGGAAUAUUGGACAAUGGGCGAGAGCCUGAUCCAGCCAUGCCGCGUGCAGGAAGACGGUCCUAUGGAUUGUAAACUGCUUUUUAUACAGGAAGAAACACUCGGACGUGUCCGAGCUUGACGGUACUGUAUGAAUAAGCACCGGCUAACUCCGUGCCAGCAG